RNAcentral lists this ribosomal RNA (253 nucleotides) under uncultured bacterium. RNAcentral's name for it is "partial 16S ribosomal RNA". It matches the Rfam family "Bacterial small subunit ribosomal RNA", at positions 524 to 776 of the family's 1533-position model. The record is from RNAcentral.
GACGGAGGAUGCAAGCGUUAUCCGGAAUUAUUGGGCGUAAAGCGUCCGUAGGCGGUUCAUCAAGUCUGUUGUCAAAGACUGCAGCUCAACUGUGGAAAGGCAAUGGAAACUGAGGAACUGGAGUGCGGUAGGGGCAGAGGGAAUUCCCAGUGUAGCGGUGAAAUGCGUAGAUAUUGGGAAGAACACCAGUGGCGAAGGCGCUCUGCUGGGCCGUAACUGACGCUGAGGGACGAAAGCUAGGGGAGCGAAAGGG